GAUGAACGCUGGCGGCGUGCCUAAUACAUUCAAGUCGAGCGAACAGACGCGGCGCUUGCUCCUCUGACGAUAGCGGCGGAGGGGUGAGUCACGCGUGGAUCACCUCCUUAUCAGUCUGGGAUAUCUUCGGGACACCGGCGCUUAUACCGGAUAAUCUAUUGCACCGCAUGGUUCAUUAGUGAAAGUCGGCUUUGCUGUCAGUUAUAGCUGGAUCCGCGCCGGUUUAGCUAGUUGGUAAGGUAACGGCUUACCAAGGCAACGCUGCGUAACCGACCUGUGAGGGGGGUCGCCCACACGGGAACGGAGCCGCGGACCAGACUCCUACGGGAGGCACCAGAAGGGAAUCUUCCGCAAUGGGCGGAAGCCUGACGGAGCAACGCCGCGCGAGAGAUGAAGGUCCUCGGAGCGGAAAACCCUGUUAUUAGGGAAGAACAAAUUUGGAAGUAACUAUGCACGUCGUGACGGUACCGAAUAAGAAAGCCACGGCUAACUACGUG
This 497-nucleotide ribosomal RNA is filed under the name uncultured bacterium. RNAcentral describes it as "partial 16S ribosomal RNA". It matches the Rfam family "Bacterial small subunit ribosomal RNA", at positions 28 to 507 of the family's 1533-position model. The record is from RNAcentral.